UAGGGAAUCUUGCGCAAUGGGCGAAAGCCUGACGCAGCCAUGCCGCGUGAAUGAUGAAGGUCUUAGGAUUGUAAAAUUCUUUCACCGGGGAAGAUAAUGACGGUACCCGGAGAAGAAGCCCCGGCUAACUACGUGCCAGCAGCCGCGGUAAUACGAAGGGGGCUAGCGUUGCUCGGAAUUACUGGGCGUAAAGGGUGUGUAGGCGGAUAGUUUAGUCAGAGGUGAAAGCCCAGGGCUCAACCCUGGAAUUGCCUUUGAUACUGGCUAUCUUGAGUUCGGAAGAGGUAAGUGGAACUCCGAGUGUAGAGGUGAAAUUCGUAGAUAUUCGGAAGAACACCAGUGGCGAAGGCGACUUACUGGUCCGAUACUGACGCUGAAACACGAAAGCGUGGGGAGCAAAC
This 401-nucleotide ribosomal RNA is filed under the name uncultured bacterium. RNAcentral's name for it is "bacterial SSU rRNA". It matches the Rfam family "Bacterial small subunit ribosomal RNA", at positions 355 to 773 of the family's 1533-position model. The record is from RNAcentral.